AGAAUAGCACAUGUCUAACGAAAUCAAAAUGAAUAAGCGUGUCGCACGCUGGAUAUCACGAGCAAGUCUGGGGAAAGACGCGCAUCUCGCGCUGUCAAGCUCAUCCGGUUACAUUACCGAUGGUGUUGGGUUCGAGGGCUCACAAAUUUGGAAGAGGGAUCGUGGAGUUGGACCUGCAUCAUCAGAAGAGAGCAAUGCCAGACUUUCUGUGGUUAAUCCUUCUUCACGUUUCUUCAUUAUGUCACACUGCAUUCUCUUAAACCAAUAUGUUAUAAUUUUGACUACAGGCAAGUGAAGUGACAUACUUGUGGUCAAACAUUGUCAUUUGCAGAAUUUGGAUCCCACAACCUCAGGAUUUGAAGUGUGAGCUCCAAAAUCUUAACCACUACACCACUUUGCCUGUCAAUAUUAGCCCUUCAUAAAAAUGUAAAUAUUGUAUAUAGAAAAGUACUUAGUUAACAUAGUUCUUCUGAUACGUUUAAUUAACCAGUGGCACUGUAACUGACACCCUUUCUCUCACGAAAUUUCCCAGAAGAAGAUGGGUAUCACAGCUAGUAUUUUGUAUAAAGCAAAUCUGAUGAGUCAUGGUGUCAAAAUAAUAGCAACAGUAUAUUUUAAGAAAUAUGAAGACAGUUUAAAAAGUAAUAUUUUCCUUAUAUACUUUCUAAGUAGUUCAACAGAAAACUAUUCACUGUUCAGAGCCAGCUUCAGUACUUCAGGACAAAAUUAAUACAUAGUCAUGUGAUGGCAUUCAGCAAAUUAUUGCUUUUAAUUAAACUGUGCCAUUUUAGUAAUUUGCAUUUAAAUUAUAAUUGCAGAAUGCAAAUCAGCUAGAACUCUUUUUUAGUUUCAGGCAAGCAUUAAAGUUUGCAAAGUCAGUCUGCCACCCUUUACCAUUUAAACAGAAGGCUUUUAUUCUUUAUCCAAUUCAUUCUUUCAUGCUGAAUCAUUACCAAUAAAUCAGAGGUUUUCCCCAACAUGCACAGCAUGCAGGAUAGACCUACAUAUUGAAGAAGAUACCCUCAAAUUUCAGACAAGAAAGAUACCAAUCACAACUGAAAUUAAUAAAUUAAUUGUUGUGUUGAUCGUUUGUCAAAUCAUCUCAUUUUCCGUCUCUUGCAACAUAAAAGUAGCAUUAAAUGAAACCAGUAUUCAGUUGCUGAGUGACAUAUUAAAUAAUGGUAACUUCAACAUUUGUCAUUAAUCCUCUACUGGGUGAAGAAAUAUAAAAAUAACAUUAGCACCUCAAUUAAGAUGCUGGCAAAUGUUUGAAUUAUUAUAAUGACAAGGGUUAGGGUAAAGAAAGCACAACUCAUUUUUAUGAUUUCUCUGUUAUGAGGAAUGCAAAACCUAAAAAGGGCCUAUCAGUAUCAGGCAGUUUCAAAAAUGGGUGGCUCUAGUAUAGAACUUUAAACUUUUAAAAAAAAAGAAUUCAAAGAAAAGUGAACAAUUGGUAUCUGAAGGAGCAAGGAAAAGUGUGAUAGUAAGAGAAAGUCAAGUAACCUACUCUACUGGUCUCUGUCACAUAUCUUCUCAUGUUGAUCAGUUGUUGGGAUUGGGGCAGGCUGGACAUGAAGACACCUAACAGCAGGACGAACAGUUUUCCUUUCCCAGGGCAAAGACACCUUUUCUAUUCAAUUCUAUCACAUCAGCUUUUACAUAUUAAACAAGUUAAUUCAAAUAUGGGACAAUUCAAGGACAGUUUCACCUUAAUAAAAUUCAUUACUGCUGGAUGUGCUUCUUUUGUGUUAUUGUUUGUGCAUAUAUAGAGAGAGUGUGAGUACAGUGAGAUGUAUUUUUUUACUAAUAUUUUUUUCUUCAUCACUUA
Erpetoichthys calabaricus (reedfish) is the source of this 1828-nucleotide long non-coding RNA. RefSeq lists it as uncharacterized. The transcript has 3 exons. Lineage: Eukaryota; Metazoa; Chordata; Cladistia; Polypteriformes; Polypteridae. The record is from RefSeq and is a predicted model, not a curated record.